Molecule: transfer RNA, 72 nt
Filed under: Dreissena polymorpha
Lineage: Eukaryota; Metazoa; Mollusca; Bivalvia; Myida; Dreissenidae
Description: tRNA-Lys
Source: RNAcentral
AGCGCAUGGCCGAGUGGUCUAAGCAAUAGACUUUUACUCCAGAGUCAAUGGUUCGAGCCCAGUUGCCAGUUG